UGAGCUAAAUCCCUGACCCCCCUGCUGUCUUUUGUGGGCUUCAUUUUCCUGUCCCUCUCCAGGUGAUGGUUCCUCAGUGAAUGUGCUGGGUCUGCUGCAUUAAGAGCUCCAUGGCCCAGGUCCCCUUGGAGCACUGAGAACUCUUGCUCAGAUCAAAGUGACCCUGGGUGGCACAAUGGGCAAGGCCUCAGCCCAUAUCCUCUACCGGAAGCCCUGACAUUGCCCAACUCAUCAGACUCAGUGGUUUUCUAUCCUUCCUGACUUCAGCCUGGUUCUCCAAGAAGGGCCACCCCUGAAGUCUCAGCCACACCUAGAUCCUCACACACUGCUGGUAUUUUAAGAGUGCCAAGGCCAGAACAAGAGA
This 364-nucleotide long non-coding RNA is filed under the name Fukomys damarensis (Damara mole-rat). RNAcentral's name for it is "lncRNA (ENSFDAG00000028155.1)". The record is from RNAcentral. Lineage: Eukaryota; Metazoa; Chordata; Mammalia; Rodentia; Bathyergidae.